CAUUUUCAAAAGAGUAAGUUAUUUAAUUCAUAAGCUCUAAUUUGCUGGUUUGUUUUGAUUGUUUGUUUUAUGUGCAUGUUUCUUAAAAUACUCCAUAAAAUGUUUAAGUUUCUUCUACAUGUAUAUUUGGUUGUCAUUUUUAUGCUUGAGUUACAUGUACCUGUAUCUUUCCCAUUUAUGACAGAAUGACAAUGUGCUCGAGGUGAUACUGAGACCCACUUCCUGUGAAAAAACAACACAGCGUGUCCAUCGGGAAGAAUGUGAAAUCCACAAUAAGCCACCUCAGGUUUUCUGUAUUCAUUGUAAUGGAGCCAUGAAACCAUGUUUACUUCUUAAACAAAAGGAAUUGAUUGAAAAAACGAGGAAGGAAUGUCUGCAGCAUUUGGCUGGGGGAACACAUCUGUUGUUCCAAAUAGGAGGAAAUGAUGAACAGCAAAUGAACAAUGAACUAACUGGAUGUCUUGGAUGCAUCUGAGAUGCUUAACAUCCGUAUGCUUCUGAGUACUAAAAGUAAACACUUUAGCCAAAGUUUAUGUGCUGAAAUGUCGAAUGUAAAAAAGGCAGCCAGACGUCUGCCUGAAUAUAAGAAUAACCAUAACAACUCAUGACUUGAGUAACA
Cyprinus carpio (common carp) is the source of this 619-nucleotide long non-coding RNA. NCBI's taxonomy places the organism in Eukaryota, Metazoa, Chordata, Actinopteri, Cypriniformes, Cyprinidae. The record is from Ensembl.